AGGUGUGAUCUUACCAGCACUAAUGCACCAGAUCCCAUCAGAACUCCGCAGAUAAGCGUGCAUGGGCGAGAGUAGUUCCAUGAUGGGUAACCUCCUUGGAAAUCCUCGUCAAGGGAUCUA
Molecule: ribosomal RNA, 120 nt
Filed under: Lupinus angustifolius (narrow-leaved blue lupine)
Lineage: Eukaryota; Viridiplantae; Streptophyta; Magnoliopsida; Fabales; Fabaceae
Source: RNAcentral